Halotalea alkalilenta is the source of this 28-nucleotide non-coding RNA. The record is from Rfam. NCBI's taxonomy places the organism in Bacteria, Pseudomonadati, Pseudomonadota, Gammaproteobacteria, Oceanospirillales, Halomonadaceae.
GUUCGCUGCCGUAUAGGCAGCUCAGAAA